RNAcentral lists this ribosomal RNA (484 nucleotides) under uncultured bacterium. RNAcentral's name for it is "partial 16S ribosomal RNA". It matches the Rfam family "Bacterial small subunit ribosomal RNA", at positions 30 to 507 of the family's 1533-position model. The record is from RNAcentral.
AUUGAACGCUGGCGGCAGGCCUAACACAUGCAAGUCGAGCGGAUGAAGGGAGCUUGCUCCUGGAUUCAGCGGCGGACGGGUGAGUAAUGCCUAGGAAUCUGCCUGGUAGUGGGUGAUAACGUCCGGAAACGGGCGCUAAUACCGCAUACGUCCUGAGGGAGAAAGUGGGGGAUCUUCGGACCUCACGCUAUCAGAUGAGCCUAGGUCGGAUUAGCUAGUUGGUUGGGUAAAGGCCUACCAAGGCGACGAUCCGUAACUGGUCUGAGAGGAUGAUCAGUCACACUGGAACUGAGACACGGUCCAGACUCCUACGGGAGGCAGCAGUGGGGAAUAUUAGACAAUGGGCGAAAGCCUGAUCCAGCCAUGCCGCGUGUGUGAAGAAGGUCUUCGGAUUGUAAAGCACUUUAAGUUGGGAGGAAGGGCAGUAAGUUAAUACCUUGCUGUUUUGACGUUACCAACAGAAUAAGCACCGGCUAACUUCGUG